GUGGGGCUUUGGGGGUUUGUUCUUGAUGACCUAAGCUUUAAUUUAAGAUCUGGAGGCAUUCUCAGUUUGACCUCUGAGGUCAGAUAGAGGUCACUGACCUCUGUAAUAUGUUGUGACACUACAGGGGAAUGGGGUAAAAAAUGUAAAUAAUAUAUAUCACCAUGAAACUUUCUCAGUUGAUUACUCAUGUUAAGCUAAGAAAAAUAUGUAUUGAAAGUUUUUUUAUAUUUUAAUGUUUAAAUAUGCAAAUUAGGCCUUCUCAUUAAAAAUGUGCUAAUUUGCAUACAU
Long non-coding RNA from Alosa sapidissima (American shad), 288 nucleotides. RefSeq lists it as uncharacterized. The record is from RefSeq and is a predicted model, not a curated record. The transcript has 3 exons. NCBI's taxonomy places the organism in Eukaryota, Metazoa, Chordata, Actinopteri, Clupeiformes, Clupeidae.